Molecule: ribosomal RNA, 301 nt
Filed under: uncultured bacterium
Lineage: Bacteria
Description: partial 16S ribosomal RNA
Rfam family: Bacterial small subunit ribosomal RNA
Source: RNAcentral
CAGCCGCCGCGGUAAAACGUAGGGUGCGAGCGUUAAUCGGAAUUACUGGGCGUAAAGCGUGCGCAGGCGGUUCGUUAAGACAGAUGUGAAAUCCCCGGGCUUAACCUGGGAACUGCAUUUGUGACUGGCGAGCUAGAGUAUGGCAGAGGGGGGUGGAAUUCCGCGUGUAGCAGUGAAAUGCGUAGAUAUGCGGAGGAACACCGAUGGCGAAGGCAGCCCCCUGGGCCAAUACUGACGCUCAUGCACGAAAGCGUGGGGAGCAAACAGGAUUAGAUACCCCUGUAGUCCCUGUCUCUUAUAC